UACGAAGGGGGCUAGCGUUGUUCGGAAUCACUGGGCGUAAAGCGCAUGCAGGCGGGUCGUUAAGUUAGGGGGGAAAUCCCGAGGCUCAACCUCGGAACUGCCGCUGAUACUGGCGAUCUUGAGUCCGGGAGAGGUGAGUGGAACUGCGAGUGUAGAGGUGAAAUUCGUAGAUAUUCGCAAGAACACCAGUGGCGAAGGCGGCUCACUGGCCCGGUACUGACGCUGAGGUGCGAAAGCGUGGGGAGCAAACAGG
This 253-nucleotide ribosomal RNA is filed under the name uncultured bacterium. Its description in RNAcentral is "partial 16S ribosomal RNA". It matches the Rfam family "Bacterial small subunit ribosomal RNA", at positions 524 to 776 of the family's 1533-position model. The record is from RNAcentral.